RNAcentral lists this ribosomal RNA (497 nucleotides) under uncultured bacterium. Its description in RNAcentral is "partial 16S ribosomal RNA". It matches the Rfam family "Bacterial small subunit ribosomal RNA", at positions 28 to 507 of the family's 1533-position model. The record is from RNAcentral.
GGUGAACGCUGGCGGCGUGCCUAAUACAUGCAAGUCGAGCGAACAGACGAGGAGCUUGCUCCUCUGACGUUAGCGGCGGACGGGUGAGUAACACGUGGAUAACCUACCUAUAAGACUGGGAUAACUUCGGGAAACCGGAGCUAAUACCGGAUAAUAUAUUGAAUCGCAUGGUUCAAUAGUGAAAGACGGUUUUGCUGUCACUUAUAGAUGGAUCCGCGCCGCAUUAGCUAGUUGGUAAGGUAACGGCUUACCAAGGCAACGAUGCGUAGCCGACCUGAGAGGGUGAUCCGCCACACUGGAACUUAGACACGGUCCAGACUCCUACGGGAGGCAGCAGUUGGGAAUCUUCCGCAAUGGGCUAAAGCCUGACGGAGCAACGCCGCGUGAGUCAUGAACGUCUUCGGAUCGUAAAACUCUGUUAUUAGGGAAGAACAAAUGUGUAAGUAACUAUGCUCGUCUUGACGGUACCUAAUCAGAAAGCCACGGCUAACUACGUG